UAACUAUUGUUGAGCUACUUUUGAAGUAAGUGAUCCCUAGUCAAUAUCUUUUAUUCAAAAUAAAUAUCUUUUGUUUAAAAUGGUAAUAUUUUAUUAGAUAUCUUUACUUUCUUACAAAGUAUCUUUUACUUUUAAGGAAAAAAACAAAAAAUUAAAUGAGGUGUUUAUUGCGCCCACUUUUCUUUUUUCUAAUUCAACUUAAUGCAUUGACUUGAAGUGCGUGAAAAUAGUCAAAAGGAGGACGGGGCCAUUUAAAAAAAAGUUGUGAAUUAAAGUUUAUAUACUUUUGAUGUAAAUUUUUUGUAUUGAUAUAUAAUAGUUGUUUGAUACGUUCCAAACUAAUUUUUUUAAGUCAAGUCCGGAUCAAUUCCAUUAAACUGAAGAGUAGAUGUCUAUAAAGAUAACUUCAUCCCACCAUAAAUUGGAUGGGUAAUCAACAACUAAAAACGCUAAAACAUGAGUUGAGUUAUUUACUCUUAUAUUAACAUCUGAAAAGGUAAUAGAACUAAAUGCAUCAGCAAUUGUCCUGCAGUCUUGGAUGAUUAGGUCUAUAUCAUGCCUUCUUCUUUUGUCGUUCAUACCACUGAUCAUGACUAGAGAGACACUGCCUUAAAGCCAUGGCGUCCGCCACAUUGGGAUCCCAUUGCUGAGUCUCCAAGUGCGAUGUCGCUACAAUGAGGCGUGCAUUGUGUGAGCGCACCACCAUACCAAAUCCACAGAUAAGUGCGUGAAGUAAUAAACGAUGAAAGACACAGGCAAUAUAUCCUGGUUCACCCACAAACGAUGGAGCUACGUUCAGUCCUUGGCUUAACCAAGAUUUCCACUAAAAAGUUUCAAGGACUUCUCCUACAUCAAGUAUUCGAUAGGACUUCUCCCACAACAAGUAUUAGACAUGACUCCUCUCAACCAAGUGUUCUACAGGACUUCUCCUAACAAGUAUUAGACAAGACUUCUACCAACAACUAUUGUUCAGAACUUCACCUAAGAUCUUUUUCAAGAUCGUUUGGCUCUACAGGGUUCUCUUCUCACAAGAGGGAUAGUAGAAAUUGCCAAGGACAUGAACUACAAAGUGUUUGAGAGAAUUUGACUCUGAUGUGUACGUUGUAUUCUUGUUCUAGAGAGAUUUGAGUAUGAAGAUUUGACUCUUAAGUGUUUCUCUCAAACGAUGUGGGGACUUUUUUUUCUUGCUUACUUGAAGAAGAUUUUUUUUUUGUAUAUCGGAAAAUACUUGAAGAAGAUUUUAAUUCAAAUAAAAGUUUUAGCUCAA
Long non-coding RNA from Lotus japonicus, 1267 nucleotides. RefSeq lists it as uncharacterized. The transcript has 2 exons. The record is from RefSeq and is a predicted model, not a curated record. NCBI's taxonomy places the organism in Eukaryota, Viridiplantae, Streptophyta, Magnoliopsida, Fabales, Fabaceae.